Molecule: ribosomal RNA, 495 nt
Filed under: uncultured bacterium
Lineage: Bacteria
Description: partial 16S ribosomal RNA
Rfam family: Bacterial small subunit ribosomal RNA
Source: RNAcentral
GACGAACGCUGGCGGCGUGCCUAAUACAUGCAAGUAGAACGCUGAAGGAGGAGCUUGCUUCUCUGGAUGAGUUGCGAACGGGUGAGUAACGCGUAGGUAACCUGCCUGGUAGCGGGGGAUAACUAUUGGAAACGAUAGCUAAUACCGCAUAAGAGUAGAUGUUGCAUGACAUUUGCUUAAAAGGUGCAAUUGCAUCACUACCAGAUGGACCUGCGUUGUAUUUGCUAGUUGGUGGGGUAAAGGCUCACCAAGGCGACGAUACAUAGCCGACCUGAGAGGGUGAUCGGCCAAACUGGGAAGGAGACACGGCCCAGACUCCUACGGGAGGCAGCAGUAGGGAAUCUUCGGCAAUGGACGGAAGGCUGAACGAGCAACGCCGCGUGAGUGAAGAAGGGUUUCGGAUCGGAAAGGUCUGUUGUAAGAGAAGAACGAGUGUGAGAGUGGAAAGUUCACACUGUGACGGUAUCUUACCAGAAAGGGACGGCUAACUACGUG